RNAcentral lists this ribosomal RNA (252 nucleotides) under uncultured bacterium. Its description in RNAcentral is "partial 16S ribosomal RNA". It matches the Rfam family "Bacterial small subunit ribosomal RNA", at positions 524 to 776 of the family's 1533-position model. The record is from RNAcentral.
UACGUAGGUCCCGAGCGUUGUCCGGAUUUAUUGGGCGUAAAGCGAGCGCAGGCGGUUUGAUAAGUCUGAAGUAAAAGGCUGUGGCUUAACCAUAGUAUGCUUUGGAAACUGUCAAACUUGAGUGCAGAAGGGGAGAGUGGAAUUCCAUGUGUAGCGGUGAAAUGCGUAGAUAUAUGGAGGAACACCGGUGGCGAAAGCGGCUCUCUGGUCUGUAACUGACGCUGAGGCUCGAAAGCGUGGGGAGCAAACAGG